This is a long non-coding RNA of Carassius carassius (crucian carp), 1019 nucleotides long. RefSeq lists it as uncharacterized. The transcript is spliced from 5 exons. The record is from RefSeq and is a predicted model, not a curated record. Lineage: Eukaryota; Metazoa; Chordata; Actinopteri; Cypriniformes; Cyprinidae.
UUAAAAUAAAUGGGGACUGAAGCAAUCAAGCUUCAAAUAAAGGCAGUCUACCUUAAAAGUAGCUAGUUUAAAAAUGUCCUAUUCGUCAUAAAAAAUAAUUCUGGGAGGUACAGGACAACAUUUAAGUCUUAUUAUUUCGAUUUUGAUCUUUGAAUUAGAUGAUUCAAUUCACAAAACCAUAUCCGAAUGAUUCGUUCAUCAGUCAAACUGAUCAUUUCUCACUGAGUCAGUGAUCCGGGGACUAACAGCAGGUGUUUUCGGUUUGUUUCAUAUACAAACUAUGACUCAAGAAAUGUUCCAUCUGUGUUCUUCGGAAGAAAUCUAGCCAUACUCUUAACAACAACACGACGGUGACUGUUUCAUUAUGAAUGACUUCCUGACCCUCCUAAAUGAAUGGCCUGAGGGGAAAGACUUCAAGAAACUGAUGAAGGACCCUUCAGGACCCUCCAGAUAUCCCUCUCUGAUGACUGGAGAUUGUCUGGAUACAGUGCUGUAGGAGAAGAAAUUUAGCUCUAUACCUGAACCCUCCUAAUGGUGUCUUUAAGUCUUAAAGCUCGACUUCAAACAAACAACUUCAACAGCAAGGUUAAUGCCUCCCACCUAAGGCCCCAGGACACAUGCCUCCUUCAGAUUUCAUUUGCAUUCUCUGGUUCUUGUCCAUGCAGAAGUCGUUCCAUAUUGCUAGGGUGUUGUAAGUCAUUGCCAAUGAAUUGCAUUACAAUUACUAAUGUUUUUUUUUAAAGGUUUUUGAAGUGUUCUCUAUAUGGCUGCCAUGUUGUUCUGGCUGGUUCUGGUUAAGGACGUUGUUAAGUGAUGGCCAUUUAAAAGGAACCAUACAUUCUGAAAAAUAAAAAAUGUAAGCAUAAUUAAUAGGUGAAUUUAUUUUGCCUGAUUUGAUUAUAAUUAACAAGUUCUCGUUUUGAUUUCAAUUUGAUUCUGGUUCAUUAUAUAUUUCUGUGACAAUGUCUGUUCUGUUUUGCUUAUCCCCUAGUUGUUGCAGUAAUUAUACAGGAAACCUU